UGGUGGAGUGAUUUGUCAGGUUAAUUCCGUUAACGAACGAGACUUUGACUUGCUAACUAGUCUUUGGAGAGUUUGCUUCAGAGUACUUCUUAGAGGGACUUUGCGUGCUUAACGUGAGGAAGUUCAAAGCAAUAACA
RNAcentral lists this ribosomal RNA (137 nucleotides) under uncultured eukaryote. Its description in RNAcentral is "partial 18S ribosomal RNA". It matches the Rfam family "Eukaryotic small subunit ribosomal RNA", at positions 1299 to 1458 of the family's 1831-position model. The record is from RNAcentral.